UCAAUUACAAAAUUAUCAGUCCUAGACUCAGAGGUAUCACCAGUAUUAACCAUUUUGACUGAGAAAGGGCUUGGAAUUUGUAAGAUAGAAUAAACCUAAAUGGUCCUAGGUACACAAAAAAUUCCAAAAAUCGGCUGAAACUGAGGAAAGAAAGUAUGAAGCGUAGAAAACUCAGAAAACUCAGAGAAAAUCAACAAACAAAACAAACUUAAAUGGUCCUAAGUACACAAAAAUUCCAGAAAUCGACUGAAACUGAGGAAAGAAAGUAUGAAACUCAGAAAACUCAGAGAAAAUCAACAAUCACCGAAGAAUAUCUUAAAAAAACAGAGAAAAAGAGAAAAAUCUAGAUUUGUCGGAGAACACAGAAACUUUGACGAAAAAUGGUGAGGGUGACAUCAUGACGAAGUGUGUGAGAAGCGGAAUUGUAAUCCCUGCUCUGAUACCAUGUGAAAGUUAACAAUUUCCAUGCAUGAACGAUGUUUAUUUCAGAUUAUAGAGAGAGAAAGAAGAAGAGUUCUUCAUUAUUGCACUGAGAGAAAAAUGAGACUAAGUCUCUG
RNAcentral lists this long non-coding RNA (557 nucleotides) under Nicotiana benthamiana. RNAcentral describes it as "long non-coding RNA (NBEN_LNC022888)". Lineage: Eukaryota; Viridiplantae; Streptophyta; Magnoliopsida; Solanales; Solanaceae. The record is from RNAcentral.